RNAcentral lists this ribosomal RNA (253 nucleotides) under uncultured bacterium. RNAcentral's name for it is "partial 16S ribosomal RNA". It matches the Rfam family "Bacterial small subunit ribosomal RNA", at positions 524 to 776 of the family's 1533-position model. The record is from RNAcentral.
UACGAAGGGUGCAAGCGUUACUCGGAAUUACUGGGCGUAAAGCGUGCGUAGGUGGUUUGUUAAGUCUGUUGUGAAAGCCCCGGGCUCAACCUGGGAAUGGCAAUGGAUACUGGCAAGCUAGAGUGCGGUAGAGGGUAGUGGAAUUCCCGGUGUAGCGGUGAAAUGCGUAGAGAUCGGAAAGAACACCAACGGCGAAAGCACUCUGCUGGGCCGACACUGACACUGAGAGACGAAAGCUAGGGGAGCGAAUGGG